UACGGGAGUGGCAAGCGUUAUCCGGAAUUAUUGGGCGUAAAGCGUCCGCAGGCGGUCUUUUAAGUCUGCUGUUAAAGCGUGGAGCUUAACUCCAUUUCGGCAGUGGAAACUGGAAGACUAGAGUGUGGUAGGGGCAGAGGGAAUUCCCGGUGUAGCGGUGAAAUGCGUAGAUAUCGGGAAGAACACCAGUGGCGAAGGCGCUCUGCUGGGCCAUAACUGACGCUCAUGGACGAAAGCCAGGGGAGCGAAAGGGAUUAGAUACCCCUGUAGUCCUGGCCGUAAACGAUGAACACUAGGUGUCGGGGGAAUCGACCCCCUCGGUGUCGUAGCCAACGCGUUAAGUGUUCCGCCUGGGGAGUACGCACGCAAGUGUGAAACUCAAAGGAAUUGACGGGGGCCCGCACAAGCGGUGGAGUAUGUGGUUUAAUUCGAUGCAACGCGAAGAACCUUACCAGGGUUUGACAUCCUGCGAAUCCCUUGAAAACGAGGGAGUGCCUUCGGGAGCGCAGUGACAGGUGGUGCAUGGCUGUCGUCAGCUCGUGUCGUGAGAUGUUGGGUUAAGUCCCGCAACGAGCGCAACCCACGUCGUUAGUUGCCAGCAUUCAGUUGGGCACUCUAGCGAGACCGCCGGUGAUAAACCGGAGGAAGGUGUGGAUGACGUCAAGUCAUCAUGCCCCUUACAUCCUGGGCUACACACGUACUACAAUGCUACGGACAAAGGGCAGCAAACUCGCGAGAGCUAGCAAAUCCCAUAAACCGUGGCUCAGUUCAGAUCGUAGGCUGCAACUCGCCUACGUGAAGGAGGAAUCGCUAGUAAUCGCAGGUCAGCAUACUGCGGUGAAUACGUUCCCGGGCCU
This 857-nucleotide ribosomal RNA is filed under the name uncultured bacterium. Its description in RNAcentral is "SSU rRNA". It matches the Rfam family "Bacterial small subunit ribosomal RNA", at positions 524 to 1381 of the family's 1533-position model. The record is from RNAcentral.